GACGAACGCUGGCGGCGUGCUUAACACAUGCAAGUCGAACGGAAAGGCCCUGCUUUUGUGGGGUGCUCGAGUGGCGAACGGGUGAGUAACACGUGAGUAACCUGCCCUUGACUUUGGGAUAACUUCAGGAAACUGGGGCUAAUACCGGCUAGGAGCUCCUGCUGCAUGGUGGGGGUUGGAAAGUUUCGGCGGUUGGGGAUGGACUCGCGGCUUAUCAGCUUGUUGGUGGGGUAGUGGCUUACCAAGGCUUUGACGGGUAGCCGGCCUGAGAGGGUGACCGGCCACAUUGGGACUGAGAUACGGCCCAGACUCCUACGGGAGACAGCAGUGGGGAAUAUUGCACAAUGGGCGGAAGCCUGAUGCAGCAACGCCGCGUGCGGGAUGACGGCCUUCGGGUUGUAAACCGCUUUCGCCUGUGACGAAGCGUGAGUGACGGUAAUGGGUAAAGAAGCACCGGCUAACUACGUG
This 468-nucleotide ribosomal RNA is filed under the name uncultured bacterium. RNAcentral's name for it is "partial 16S ribosomal RNA". It matches the Rfam family "Bacterial small subunit ribosomal RNA", at positions 28 to 507 of the family's 1533-position model. The record is from RNAcentral.